AUCGCCCACGCUGACCGUGAGAGUCCGACCGCCAACCUUGAGCACGGCCGAGUCGCCGAAGCCGCGGGAGAAGGAGUUGAUGGAGACCUCCAAGAAGCUGGUUCAAGCUCCCUAAACCCAGAGCUGGAGGAAGACCCUGCUGAACAGAUGACGUCACAGACAGAGGCAGAAGCCCCAGGAUUGGUGGACAGACAGACAUUGGAAUGCGAGAAAUGGAGUCCGGACCCCAGGCUGGAGUGCAAUGGCACGAUCUUGGCUCAUCGCAACCUCCGCCUCCCGAGUUCAAGCGAUUCUCCUGCCUCAGCCUCCCGAGAAGCUGGGAUUACAGAUGGAGUCUCAUUCUGUUGCCCAGGGUGGAAUGCCAGUGGCGCAAUCUCGGCUCGCUGAAACCUCCGCCUCCAGGAUUCAAGAGAUUCUUCUGCCUCAGCCUCCCAAGUAGCUGGGAUUACAGGCAUGCGCCACCAUGCCCGGCUAAUUCUUGUAUUUUUAGUAGAGACGGGGUUUUGCCAUGCUGGCCAGAGCUGAUCUCGAACUCCUGACCUCGGGUGAUCUGCCCGCUUUGACCUCCCAAAGUGCUGGGAUUACAGGCAUGAGCCACUGCACCUGACCAUACAUUUUAUACUUUAUUUAUUUUUAUUUUUUAUUUUGAGACAGGGUCUCAGUCUGUUGUCCAGGCUGGAGUGUAGUGGCUUGAUCAUGGCUCACUACAGCCUCAACCUCCUGGGGUCAGGGAUUCUUCCACCUCAGCCUCCUGAGUAGCUGGGAUUACAGGCACCAGCCACCAUGCCCGGCUAAUUUUUGUAUUUUUGUAGAGACAGGGUUUUGCCAUGUUGCCCAGGCUGACUCCAUACAUUAAAAAAGUUUUUAUUUUAUAUUUAUUUAUUUCGAGACAGAGUCUCUGUUGCCCAGGCUGGAGUACAAUAGCACGAUCUCAGCUCACUGCAACCUCCACUUCCCAGGUUCAAGUGAUUCUCCUGCCUCAGCCUCCCAAGUAGCUGGGAUUAAAGGCAUGUGCCACCACUUCCGGGUAAUUUUUAGUAGAGAGGGGGUUUCACCAUGUUGGCCAGGCUGGUCUCGAACUCCAGACCUCAAGUGAUCCGUCCACCUCAGCCUCCCAAAGUGCUGGGAUUACAGGCACGAGCCACUGCAUCUGGCCAAAAGUUUUUUUUUAGAGACAGGGUCUUGCUCUGUCACCCAGGCUGGAGUACAAUAGCACAAUCAUAGCUCACUGCAGCCCCAACCUCCUGGGUUCAAAUGAUCCCCCAACCUCAGCCCUCUGAGUAGCUAGAACUACACGUGCACAUCACUACACCCAACUAAUUUGAAAUUUCUGUAGAGAUGGGGGUCUUGCUAUGUUGCCCAGGCUGGUCUUGAACUUCUGGCCUCAAAGAAUGCUCCCAACUCAGCAUUGGGAUUGCAGCCGUGAGCCACUGCACUCAGCUUCCAUAAAUGUUUGUGACCCCAGAGCGUCCACUCUGCCUUCCAGCCCCAGCCCCACUCGCCUCCACGAGGAAGUCGAAGAGGCGGGCAUAGAGCCCCUUGGCCA
Molecule: long non-coding RNA, 1546 nt
Organism: Gorilla gorilla gorilla (western lowland gorilla)
Lineage: Eukaryota; Metazoa; Chordata; Mammalia; Primates; Hominidae
Exons: 4
Source: RefSeq, a predicted model, not a curated record